RNAcentral lists this ribosomal RNA (253 nucleotides) under uncultured bacterium. RNAcentral's name for it is "partial 16S ribosomal RNA". It matches the Rfam family "Bacterial small subunit ribosomal RNA", at positions 524 to 776 of the family's 1533-position model. The record is from RNAcentral.
UACGGAGGAUGCGAGCGUUAUCCGGAUUUAUUGGGUUUAAAGGGCUCGUAGGCGGUUCGUCGCGUCCGGUGUGAAAGUCCAUCGCUUAACGGUGGAUCCGCGCCGGGUACGGGCGGGCUUGAGUGCGGUAGGGGAGACUGGAAUUCCCGGUGUAACGGUGGAAUGUGUAGAUAUCGGGAAGAACACCAAUGGCGAAGGCAGGUCUCUGGGCCGUUACUGACGCUGAGGAGCGAAAGCGUGGGGAGCGAACAGG